RNAcentral lists this microRNA precursor (243 nucleotides) under Vigna unguiculata (cowpea). Its description in RNAcentral is "miR408 stem-loop (vun-MIR408)". Its record names the gene vun-MIR408. The stretch from base 34 to 185 matches the Rfam family "MIR408 microRNA precursor family". The record is from miRBase by way of RNAcentral. Lineage: Eukaryota; Viridiplantae; Streptophyta; Magnoliopsida; Fabales; Fabaceae.
UGUUAAGGAUGUCCACAACAAGGUCGAGGUAACAGUCAGAAACAGGACAGAGCAGGGGAACAGGCAGAGCAUGGAUGGAGUCAUCAACACAAUAGAGCCAAGAAAAUGAGAGUGACAGAACAAAUUAUCUGUUGUGAUUCUGCUCAUGCACUGCCUCUUCCCUGGCUCUAUCAGUAUUUCUCCUUUCUUUCAUAUUGAAUCCAAAACUUUUUUUCUCUUAAGUUUUAGCACAAAUUCACAACC